This 512-nucleotide ribosomal RNA is filed under the name uncultured microorganism. Its description in RNAcentral is "bacterial SSU rRNA". It matches the Rfam family "Bacterial small subunit ribosomal RNA", at positions 9 to 503 of the family's 1533-position model. The record is from RNAcentral.
GAGUUUGAUCAUGGCUCAGGAUGAACGCUGGCGGCGUGCCUAAUACAUGCAAGUCGAGCGAACGGACGAGAAGCUUGCUUCUCUGAUGUUAGCGGCGGACGGGUGAGUAACACGUGGAUAACCUACCUAUAAGACUGGGAUAACUUCGGGAAACCGGAGCUAAUACCGGAUAAUAUUUUGAACCGCAUGGUUCAAAAGUGAAAGACGGUCUUGCUGUCACUUAUAGAUGGAUCCGCGCUGCAUUAGCUAGUUGGUAAGGUAACGGCUUACCAAGGCAACGAUGCAUAGCCGACCUGAGAGGGUGAUCGGCCACACUGGAACUGAGACACGGUCCAGACUCCUACGGGAGGCAGCAGUAGGGAAUCUUCCGCAAUGGGCGAAAGCCUGACGGAGCAACGCCGCGUGAGUGAUGAAGGUCUUCGGAUCGUAAAACUCUGUUAUUAGGGAAGAACAUAUGUGUAAGUAACUGUGCACAUCUUGACGGUACCUAAUCAGAAAGCCACGGCUAACUA